CUGAGUGGGACGAGUGAACUUGUUCACGAAGCAAUCGGAAGUGGUUCCAAGAAAAGCCUCUAAGCUUCAGUCAUACGAGACCGUACCGCAAACCGACACAGGUGGGCGAGAUGAGUAUUCUAAGGCGCUUGAGAGAACUCGGGAGAAGGAACUCGGCAAAUUGGUACCGUAACUUCGGGAAAAGGUACGCCCCGGUAGCUUGGUCACUUUACUGUGAUAGGGCGAAAGGGUUGCAAUAAACUGGUGGCUGCGACUGUUUAAUAAAAACACAGCACUCUGCAAACACGAAAGUGGACGUAUAGGGUGUGACGCCUGCCCGGUGCUGGAAGAUUAAAUGAUGGGGUGCAAGCUCUUGAUUGAAGUCCCAGUAAACGGCGGCCGUAACCAUAACGGUCCUAAGGUAGCGAAAUUCCUUGUCGGGUAAGUUCCGACCUGCACGAAUGGCGUAACGAUGGCCACACUGUCUCCUCCCGAGACUCAGCGAAGUUGAAGUGUUUGUGAUGAUGCAAUCUACCCGCGGCUAGACGGAAAGACCCCAUGAACCUUUACUGUAGCUUUGCAUUGGACUUUGAACCAAUCUGUGUAGGAUAGGUGGGAGGCUUUGAAGCGGGGACGCCAGUUCUCGUGGAGCCAACCUUGAAAUACCACCCUGGUUUGUUUGAGGUUCUAACCUUGGUCCGUAAUCCGGAUCGGGGACAGUGCAUGGUAGGCAGUUUGACUGGGGCGGUCUCCUCCUAAAGUGUAACGGAGGAGCUCGAAGGUACGCUAAUUACGGUCGGACAUCGUGAUGAUAGUGCAAUGGCAUAAGCGUGCUUAACUGCGAGACCGACAAGUCGAGCAGGUACGAAAGUAGGACAUAGUGAUCCGGUGGUUCUGUAUGGAAGGGCCAUCGCUCAACGGAUAAAAGGUACUCUGGGGAUAACAGGCUGAUUCCUCCCAAGAGUUCAUAUCGACGGGGGAGUUUGGCACCUCGAUGUCGGCUCAUCACAUCCUGGGGCUGUAGCCGGUCCCAAGGGUAUGGCUGUUCGCCAUUUAAAGUGGUACGUGAGCUGGGUUUAAAACGUCGUGAGACAGUUUGGUCCCUAUCUGCCGUGGGCGUUGGAAAUUUGAAGGGGGCUGCUCCUAGUACGAGAGGACCGGAGUGGACGAACCUCUGGUGUACCGGUUGUCACGCCAGUGGCAUUGCCGGGUAGCUAAGUUCGGAAGAGAUAACCGCUGAAAGCAUCUAAGCGGGAAACUUGCCUUGAGAUGAGAUUUCCCGGAGCUUUAAGCUCCUUGAAGGGUCGUUCGAGACCAGGACGUUGAUAGGCUGGGUGUGGAAGUCA
This 1325-nucleotide ribosomal RNA is filed under the name metagenome. Its description in RNAcentral is "bacterial LSU rRNA". It matches the Rfam family "Bacterial large subunit ribosomal RNA", at positions 1560 to 2876 of the family's 2925-position model. The record is from RNAcentral.